AUUGCACAAUGGGCGCAAGCCUGAUGCAGCGACGCCGCGUGCGGGAUGACGGCCUUCGGGUUGUAAACCGCUUUUGACUGGGAGCAAGCCCUUCGGGGUGAGUGUACCUUUCGAAUAAGCACCGGCUAACUACGUGCCAGCAGCCGCGGUAAUACGUAGGGUGCAAGCGUUAUCCGGAAUUAUUGGGCGUAAAGGGCUCGUAGGCGGUUCGUCGCGUCCGGUGUGAAAGUCCAUCGCUUAACGGUGGAUCCGCGCCGGGUACGGGCGGGCUUGAGUGCGGUAGGGGAGACUGGAAUUCCCGGUGUAACGGUGGAAUGUGUAGAUAUCGGGAAGAACACCAAUGGCGAAGGCAGGUCUCUGGGCCGUCACUGACGCUGAGGAGCGAAAGCGUGGGGAGCGAACAGGAUUAGAUACCCUGGUAGUCCACGCCGUAAACGGUGGAUGCUGGAUGUGGGGACCAUUCCACGGUCUCCGUGUCGGAGCCAACGCGUUAAGCAUCCCGCCUGGGGAGUACGGCCGCAAGGCUAAAACUCAAAGAAAUUGACGGGGGCCCGCACAAGCGGCGGAGCAUGCGGAUUAAUUCGAUGCAACGCGAAGAACCUUACCUGGGCUUGACAUGUUCCCGACAGCCGUAGAGAUACGGUCUCCCUUCGGGGCGGGUUCACAGGUGGUGCAUGGUCGUCGUCAGCUCGUGUCGUGAGAUGUUGGGUUAAGUCCCGCAACGAGCGCAACCCUCGCCCUGUGUUGCCAGCACGUCGUGGUGGGAACUCACGGGGGACCGCCGGGGUCAACUCGGAGGAAGGUGGGGAUGACGUCAGAUCAUCAUGCCCCUUACGUCCAGGGCUUCACGCAUGCUACAAUGGCCGGUACAACGGGAUGCGACACCGCGAGGUGGAGCGGAUCCCUUAAAA
This 911-nucleotide ribosomal RNA is filed under the name human gut metagenome. Its description in RNAcentral is "bacterial SSU rRNA". It matches the Rfam family "Bacterial small subunit ribosomal RNA", at positions 363 to 1281 of the family's 1533-position model. The record is from RNAcentral.